GCCCGCAUAGCUCAAUGGUAGAGCAGUGCCCUUCUAAGGCAAAGGUUACAGGUUCGAUCCCUGUUGUGGGUACCA
RNAcentral lists this transfer RNA (75 nucleotides) under Candidatus Peregrinibacteria bacterium. Its description in RNAcentral is "tRNA-Arg". It matches the Rfam family "tRNA". From Rfam's summary of the family: Transfer RNA (tRNA) molecules are approximately 80 nucleotides in length. Lineage: Bacteria; Candidatus Peregrinibacteriota. The record is from RNAcentral.